AUGUUACAAAGGUAAAUUGUUUAACGACGAGUAUUUCUAAUUUUUUUUCAGUUAGAUCUACCAUGAGAUGAUAAAGAAGAGUAAGAGAUAUAAAAGAGAAAUGAUUGGGAGGAAUAAGGAAGGUGAGUAAAGGUUUGGGGGAAGAGUGAGAGAUAUAAAAGAGAAAUGAUUCAGAGGAACAAGGAAGGUGAAUAAGGGUUUGGGUGUUUUUUCUUUUUUAAAGUUUUGAGAAUGAAAGUUAUUCAGAUACUCUUAUUUUAAAACUUAAAAUUCAUAAUAUAUGAGAGUAUAUUUGUCUACUAUAACCCGAUACACAUUAUUAAAAUGUACCAACUUAAAAAAUCAAUAUAUAUAUAUAUAUAUAUAUAUAUAU
RNAcentral lists this long non-coding RNA (373 nucleotides) under Vigna radiata. RNAcentral describes it as "long non-coding RNA (VRAD_LNC007144)". Lineage: Eukaryota; Viridiplantae; Streptophyta; Magnoliopsida; Fabales; Fabaceae. The record is from RNAcentral.